This 253-nucleotide ribosomal RNA is filed under the name uncultured bacterium. RNAcentral describes it as "partial 16S ribosomal RNA". It matches the Rfam family "Bacterial small subunit ribosomal RNA", at positions 524 to 776 of the family's 1533-position model. The record is from RNAcentral.
UACGUAGGGGGCAAGCGUUGUCCGGAUUCAUUGGGCGUAAAGAGCGUGUAGGCGGCCAGGUAGGUCGGUUGUGAAAACUGGAGGCUCAACCUUCAGAGGUCGACCGAAACCAUCUGGCUAGAGUCCGGGAGAGGAGAGUGGAAUUCCUGGUGUAGCGGUGAAAUGCGCAGAUAUCUGGAGGAAUACCGGUGGCGAAGGCGGCAUCCUGGACCGAGAUUGACACUGAUGAGCGAAAGCUAGGGGAGCAAACGGG